AUAUAUUUUGGAGAGACCUGUGGUGAUGCUUAACCGGUCUCCCUUAUUUCCAUGAAUAAAAUAUAACUAAACCCUAAAAUCUUUCCCCCAAAUUUUUAUUCUUCAAUCCGCCUCCUCUUCCUCUCUCUCUCCUCCUCUUACCUCAAAUUCCUUAUUCCUUCUUUUCGUGAACCAUUUCAUUCAUAUUUCAAUUUAAAUUCCUCCAUUUCUUGUUUCAAUUCAUCUUUUCUUCAUACUUUAAACCUAAAUUUUUGAUGUUUAUCAUUUUCAUCAACCUCGGUACAAUAUAAAUUCUUCCGCUUUCAAUUCGUCUCCAUAAACAAACAAAUGAAGCUUCAGAAGUACCUUUAAUGGGGUUCGAGCUUCUCUUUUUAAUUUUCUGAGUCACGUUAUAGAAAGAAUGGACCGUCAAGGAAGAUGAUCUACCAUUUGGUGGCUUCACGAACGACUCGCUUCAAAUUUCGAUGAUAUAUAAUUGUUUAUCACUAAGAACAAGUUAUCUAUGAGCUAAUGUUUAACGAAGAUAUGAUAUGAAGAUGACGAGGAUGGUAACGGAUGAUGAUGAAGAUAAUCACUCCAAUGAAACAAGUGGAUGAUAGUUCAUUUUUAGUGUUAAUUUUCUUUUUAUAAGAUUACAAAUUAAUACUUCCUUCGUUUCUAUUUAGUUGACGCGUUUGAUUUAGGCACAUAUAUUAAGGAGAGGAGAGAGAAUGAAAAGGCAAGUGGGGUACGUAGCUUGUAAAUGCAAGGUAAAAAGUUUACCCCAAAAGGAAACGUAUCAACUAAAAAAAACUUCCUAAAUAGGAAUACGUGUUAACUAAAAAGAAACGGGGGUAGUAGAUUAUAGUACCUAGAUAAAUUAUCUAAUACAUACUAUAAAUUACGAAGUAUCUAAUAUGUAAAUACUUCGUAUGUAUAUGUACUACAAACUAAUAGAUUAUAGUACCGUAGAUUGUAUUAUUUUUUUUCGAGCGAAAUAUGAAAUUGUAUA
This is a long non-coding RNA of Chenopodium quinoa (quinoa), 991 nucleotides long. RefSeq lists it as uncharacterized. Lineage: Eukaryota; Viridiplantae; Streptophyta; Magnoliopsida; Caryophyllales; Amaranthaceae. The transcript has 2 exons. The record is from RefSeq and is a predicted model, not a curated record.